RNAcentral lists this long non-coding RNA (98 nucleotides) under Sus scrofa (pig). RNAcentral describes it as "lncRNA (ENSSSCG00055025705.1, ENSSSCG00070008781.1)". Lineage: Eukaryota; Metazoa; Chordata; Mammalia; Artiodactyla; Suidae. The record is from RNAcentral.
UGACUUCUGAGGAUCACCUUUGGAAGGCUUGGUGUUACGAACAUUGGGAUAAGAAUUUUACAAAACAUCAAAAAGGACCUCUUUCAAAUCAUCAGCAC